Molecule: ribosomal RNA, 497 nt
Filed under: uncultured bacterium
Lineage: Bacteria
Description: partial 16S ribosomal RNA
Rfam family: Bacterial small subunit ribosomal RNA
Source: RNAcentral
GAUGAACGCUGGCGGCGUGCCUAAUACAUGCAAGUCGAACGAACAGACGAGGAGCUUGCUCCUCUGACGUUAGCGGCGGACGGGUGAGUAACACGUGGAUAACCCACCUAUAUGACUGGGAUCACUUCGGGAAACCGGAGCUAAUACCGGAUAAUAUAUUGAACCGCAUGGUUCAAUAGUGAAAUACGGUUUUUCUGUCACGUAUAGAUGGAUCCGCGCCUCAUUAGCUAGUUGGUAAGGUAACGGCUUACCAAGGCAACGAUGCGUAGCCGACCUGAGAGGGUGAUCGGCCACACGGGAACGGAGACGCGGUCCAGGGGCCUACGGGAGGCAGCAGUAGGGAAUCUGCCGCAAUGGGCGGAAGCCUGACGGAGCAACGCCGAGUGAGUGAUGAAGGUCUUCGGAUCGUAAAACUCUGUUAUGAGGGAAGAACAAAUGUGUAAGUAACUAUGCACGUCUUGACGGUACCUAAUCAGAAAGCCACGGCUAACUACGUG